AGGAGUCUACAGUGAUGUUUUUUGGAACAUUGAUAUCUUUAGCUUUUCUAAGCACUCAAACUUACCAAGUGUUCACUGCUAUGGCAUUGUGCAUUUAUAUCCAUACUGCUGAUAAUCUUAUUAAAAUUUCACUUCUUUUUUUUUUUUUUGUCGACAGGCCUUUCAACUGUCCAAGAAGAAUCAACAGUUUUUUGAUGUGGAGGACUUCUCUAAUCUUAAAAUGGCAGACUUCUAUGAUAAAUAUCUGUGGUCGCUAAAUGUGUCUCACACAAUUAUGGAAAUCAGCUUUUUGUCUGGACAGUUAUUUAAUUCACAGUCAUCAUCCUUUCGUAAGAAUUUUGAAAGUGUUUGUUUUAGUGCACUAUCUUGCUUAUCUUGUUGUUG
RNAcentral lists this long non-coding RNA (384 nucleotides) under Struthio camelus australis. RNAcentral describes it as "lncRNA (ENSSCUG00000004397.1)". Lineage: Eukaryota; Metazoa; Chordata; Aves; Struthioniformes; Struthionidae. The record is from RNAcentral.